AGAACGAACGCUGGCGGCAGGCUUAACACAUGCAAGUCGAGCGCUGUAGCAAUACAGAGCGGCAGACGGGUGAGUAACGCGUGGGAACAUACCCCAAGGUUCGGAAUAACUCAGGGAAACUUGAGCUAAUACCGGAUAUCUCCGAGAGGAGAAAGAUUUAUCGCCAUGGGAUUGGCCCGCGUUCGAUUAGCUAGUUGGUGUGGUAAUGGCGCACCAAGGCGACGAUCGAUAGCUGGUCUGAGAGGAUGAUCAGCCACAUUGGGACUGAGACACGGCCCAAACUCCUACGGGAGGCAGCAGUGGGGAAUAUUGGACAAUGGGGGCAACCCUGAUCCAGCCAUGCCGCGUGGGUGAAGAAGGCCUUGGUUGUAAGCCCUUUGUACGGGAGAAAGCUUCGGGUUAACAACCGGGAGUCAUGACGGUACCGUAAGAAUAAGCACCGGCUAACUUCGUGCCAGCAGCCGC
This 465-nucleotide ribosomal RNA is filed under the name uncultured bacterium. RNAcentral describes it as "SSU rRNA". It matches the Rfam family "Bacterial small subunit ribosomal RNA", at positions 26 to 518 of the family's 1533-position model. The record is from RNAcentral.